This 1862-nucleotide long non-coding RNA is filed under the name Drosophila guanche. The record is from RNAcentral. Lineage: Eukaryota; Metazoa; Arthropoda; Insecta; Diptera; Drosophilidae.
CGAAGCGAAAUAGAGAAUAAAUCCAUUUUCUGUCGAUAGAAACAAGAAAGAAAGAAAAAAGCGAAACAAGCACAAGAGGGAUAAAAAUAGCAAUAAAUGAAGACGAUUUAAAACGUAUUAAUGCAGUCGAACGAAAAAUGUACUAGUUUGAUCAAUUUAUAAAGCGAUAACACUUUAUUUUUGUCCCGCCGGAAAAGACUUAUACAAUCAUGCGGUGCUUUCUCCAUGAAUUGUUGUCCUUCAAGCUCCAUAUCCACUUUGGAAGAACACACUCCGCCAGAUUUCAUAAAAAAAUUGAGUUUCUGAAGCCUAGUACUCAGAUCGAAAAAAAGGGGCCGCUAAAAAUAUCAGGGAUGAUAUUUGUAUGUGUUGAAAGUAGCAGCAGCGAGUUAGCAGCGGGCUGUUGUUAACCAUAAAGCAACUAUAUAAGACUAUAUAAGUCUCGUCGGAAAAAAUUAUGGAAACGUGCGAGUGAAAAGUGCGAGUGAAAAGUGCGAGUGAAAGGGCUCUCGCUGUAAGAGUGAGGGAGUGUGCUGAUUAAUCAUUUGAAGGCAAUGUGAAAAAAACAUAAUAAUUGUUUCAUAAUUUAAUUUUUAAUAGUUUGCUACAUAAUAGUAGUCUGUGUUUUGAAAAUAUGAACAUUUUGAAAAAAUUUGAAAAAAAAAUUUUGUCCGCAACCAACUUUCCGCGUCGACAAGCAAACGAGCACUGAGAAUUGGGUAACGCAGCGAGUAACUCUGCCACCGACGAGGCCUCUUUAUAUAGUUGCUUUAUGCUUAUAUAGUUGCUUAAUUGUCGUUGCCCUCACACUUACAGCGAGAGCCCUUUCACUCGCACUAUUCCAUAAAUUUUCCGACGAGACCUGCUUAUAUAGUUGCUUUAUGCCUUAUAUAGUUGCUUUAUGGCCGGAGCUCGCUCGCGCUCUCACUCCCUACGAUCUCGCGCUCUCCUUCUUUCCUGGCGCUCGCGAGCUGGCGGGUCGCCAGCCGCUAAGCUAGGUUUAGUAUUCUACCCACCCCCGUACAUUACGGUACACGCGAGUCGAUUCAUACAUACAUUGUUCAUACCUACAUACAUACAUAACACAUACAAUACACCCGCGCCGUUCGAGUGCUUUCAAUAAACCGCCUGUAUAUUAUAUAUCCAUAUAUACUGCGUCGCCUCUUUAUUUUGGGGCCGAGAAGUUAUCUGCAGCGAAGGAAGCCGCCAUCCUACAAACAUUGGUAGCUCGAGCCAGAUUCUUGCUGAAUCGAGACUGUCCCAGCAAGCAUCGGUGGAUUCAAAAAAAAAAACACAACUGCAGAUAUGUACGCUCACAUUGUUCCGCCAAUCGAAUCCUUCCGCGAUUGGCGUUCCGCACUUUUCAAGUCCGACUGUCCACAUAUCCAUAUGUACAUAUAUUCUUAUGUACAUAUUGUCCGAUCCCGCUAAGAAUUUUCGUGUCAGUUUAUCCGCUAACCGCCAUAAUAUCGGCGUCCGACAUUUAUAUUUGUUUAUUGGCGUUUUAUCCGUUUCCAUAGAUUUGUAUAUUCUUACAUUCUCUAUUUUUUAUACCCGGUACUCGAAGAGUAAAUAGGGUAUAUUGUAUUUGUGGGGAAUAACGGUUGUAUGUAACGCACAGAAGGAAACGUUUCCGACCCCAUAAUGUAUAUAUAUAUUUGCUUGAUCAGCAUCAAUAGACGAUUCGAUAGAGCCAUGUCUGUCUGUCCGUCUGUCCGUCUUGUUUGUCGGCUAGUUCUUAGAGACUAUAAGAGCUAAGCCACCAAAUUUUGCAUCCAGACUGCUAUAUGCUCACACUGAAACCAGUGUAUUUCAAAAAUGAGCCACGCCCCCUUCCGCCCCCGCAAAAGGGCGAAAACCUA